This is a long non-coding RNA of Diceros bicornis minor, 2815 nucleotides long. RefSeq lists it as uncharacterized. The transcript is spliced from 2 exons. The record is from RefSeq and is a predicted model, not a curated record. NCBI's taxonomy places the organism in Eukaryota, Metazoa, Chordata, Mammalia, Perissodactyla, Rhinocerotidae.
CACGCAGACGGAGGCCCAGCCUCCGUCGCAGAGCCCCGGGCGGCAGGUGUCCGGAGCGGGAAAGGGGCCCCGGGCCAAGGGCAUCCUAGAAGGAGGGAGGCGGCUGGAGCGCGGGCUCUCUCUUUAAGCCCAUUUCUUCUUCGCAAAGCUCCACCCAGCGACUUCAGCCGGGCUUCUCUCGGAUCCUGAGCCCUUAGCCUUUCUUGGGCCACCGGGUUAGGUUUAGGGAAGGUUAGGGUCGAAAGAAGAAGCGCACAUUCUCCCGGAUUGUCAUGAAUGUGCCCGAAGAGCCCAGUGGGGCCGUGCGUUCUAACAGGGCAUUUAAGGACUUUUUCAGAGUGUGGCGCAAAGACGCUCUUCCUGCCCUCAGAGCGGGAGGGUGCUGUGGAAAAAAUGGGAAACAGACAAGCAUGUAUUAAGUCAAUAUUGCCAAGGUGAACCUAAGAGAAUUACUGUGUGCCGGUGCAGCCCCUGCGUUGUUGCGUUUAAUCCACACAGCAACCCUGUGGGUAUCAAUCCCGUUCACGAUGAGGAAACCGAGACUCAGACGAUAAGUAAUUGCCCUGGGUCCCACAGUUAAUCAAUGGCAGGUCUGGCAGGUUCUGACGCCGGCAUCCCACGUGGGGAGAGAGACUUUUAAAUACACCUGAAGUUAAGCACACAACAUCCGAACCGUAGAAGUAUAGUGGAUUCACCCUGGGAUGGAGGACCGCGAGAUAUUGUUUCUGGGGACUCUGAUGCAAAUGUAGUUCUACAGGCUUUGAGGGAGAGGAGGGCAAAAGAAGACCCCUGAGGCUCUAGGACCGGAUCUGUGGGACUAACAGAAGGCGGGUCCACAUCCCAGUAUUGUGGCGGGAAGGCAGACUGUUAAAAAGUCUCCGGGACCUGAGGUAACAAAGCCUGGGGGGAGGGGGACCCGAGCCAGACGAGCCGGGAGAGGGGCAGAAGGACAACGUGCAGCACACACCCCGAAAGCACCAGUGAUGAAACCACACAAGUUUCCUCUUCCAUUUUGAUUGCCAAAGCAAAAAUGAGCCACCGGCUCUCUCAGGUGUGAAAAAAGGCUGUUUGUUUUAGAACAUUUUGCUUUGAAUGAGGAAGGAAAGGGGGACACAAGAAAAAAAAAAAAAAAACAUUUCCUUUGAAAUAAAUACAUCAACGUCAGUUUUUUUCUCUGUUCAUGAAGAUUUUUGCCACUCAUAUAAAUUUUCGGCAGCGUAACAUGUUGAAGAGCAUGUUCUCUGGAACCAGAUGGCCUGGGUUUGAAUUCCAGCUCUGCCGCUCAUUAGCUUUGAUCCCUGGACAAGUGACAACCUUUUGGUGCCUCAGUUUCUGCAUCUGGGUGGUUAUGAACAGUAAAUGAGUUAACAUUUGUAAAGUAUUUAGAUUACUGUUGAACUUGAAGUAGGCGCUAUGUAAAUAUUUUUGAAUUUAAAAAUUAGAUUAUGGUUUUCAGCGUGAAAAGAAACAAAAUUCUGUCCGGCUCCAGGCAAAUCCGACUGGAACUGAAGGUUUCCAGUAUGAGCAAUGAGGUAAAAGUCUCAGAUUUCAUGGUAUGGUUCAUAUUAAAACUCGUAAAACUCUACUCUCCGUGCGGCCUGCCUGAGUCACUGAAUCACAGAGCCACAAAUAUUUUCUGAGCACUACUGUAUUGGAUGCCUGGGAGCCAAAGAGGAGCCAAAGGCCUUGAGUCUCGUUGAGAGGACACAAGUGUCACUAGAAGUUUGAGAUGGCCUUGUAUCCCUCCUGGAAGUGCCCUGGGAAUGGCACAGAGAGUGAGUGAGUCCUGUCAGCCUUUAGGAGAGCAAGACAUCUCUCUCUGUGGGGUGGGGUUGGGGAGUCUCAAGAAGGAGGUGGACUUUGAAAUGGGCCUGAGAAGAUAGGUACAAUUUGACUCCAGUGAGGGAGGCAAGAACAUGUUGGGCUGGGGGAGGGUCAUCAGCACCCUUAGGGCAAUGCUCAUACUUCACUGGGAGCCCCAGUUACUGCCACAUCUGCCCCUGGCCAGGACCUGGCCCCAGUUAGACUGCAAUUUCUUGCCUGAUUCCACUCCCUUAUCCCUAGAUUUCAAGGUGCUUCCUCAGAGGACCCCCACCCCCUACUCCUGUAGUGGGCACCACAGAGCAGGUGUCAGUUGAGUCUAGCUCUGCUACAAGUCCUUUUGCCAUCUCUUGACUGACACAUCUUGAAAGUACAGAUUUCCCCCCAUUAUCCGAAAGUUCGUUUUACACCACUUGGCUUUUACAAAAGACCUAUGUUAGUACCUGUUUUCGCUACCAGAAAGAAAUCCGAAGAGGAUUUUCGCUUUUACGAAAAAAGGCAAAAAUAGUGUUUAGCAUUUGUUUUGCAGCAAGCCAUUAUAGAGGCUAAGCAGUCAAGCACACUGUUGUAUUUCAAGCCUUCCACAUCGGCCACAUCAGCCACAGCAGACGACGAACCUCGACCUUCGACGUUGAGGUGGCAGACAGAGAAGAAGGUAUGUCCUGCCUGUCCUGAUGGAUUCAGAUGACGAUGAGAUGUUAAUAUAUGCCCCUCUUCCUCUCUCCUACACCCCAGCCUCCUGUGCCUCCCUCCACCCCAACCUCCGACGACUCAGCCUCACACCCCCUCGUCACCACGACCACCUCUCAGCCUUCAGUGUGCUCCUGUCUUCCCGAUUCUGGCACCAAGGAAAGGCCAUGUGAACACACAGCAGGAAGGUGGCCAUCUGCAAGCCAAGAAGAGAGACCUCACCAGAACCUGCCAUGCUGGCAACUUGAUCUCAGAGUUCCAGCCUCCAGAACUGUGAGAAAAUAAAUUUAUGUUGUUUAAGCCA